RNAcentral lists this ribosomal RNA (253 nucleotides) under uncultured bacterium. Its description in RNAcentral is "partial 16S ribosomal RNA". It matches the Rfam family "Bacterial small subunit ribosomal RNA", at positions 524 to 776 of the family's 1533-position model. The record is from RNAcentral.
UACAGAGGGCUCAAGCGUUGUCCGGAUUUACUGGGCGUAAAGAGCGCGCAGGCGGCCAAGUCAGUCGAAUGUGAAAGCCCCCGGCUUAACUGGGGAGGGUCAUUCGAUACUGCUCGGCUCGAAGACAGGAGAGGGAAGUGGAAUUCCCGGUGUAGUGGUGAAAUGCGUAGAUAUCGGGAGGAACACCAGUGGCGAAGGCGACUUUCUGGCCUGUUCUUGACGCUGAGGCGCGAAAGCUAGGGGAGCAAACGGG